AACGCACGAGACCUGCGGACCUGCGGAGGGAUCAUUAGUGAACGCCCUCACGGGCUUAUAACUAUUCCAAACCUCUGUGAACCGUGCCCUUCGGGGCUAUUUUACAAACAUGGCGUAAUGAACGUCAUAUAUCAUAACAAAACAAAACUUUCAGCAACGGAUCUCU
RNAcentral lists this unclassified non-coding RNA (166 nucleotides) under soil metagenome. RNAcentral's name for it is "partial contains 5.8S ribosomal RNA, internal transcribed spacer 2, and large subunit ribosomal RNA". The record is from RNAcentral.